Molecule: long non-coding RNA, 205 nt
Filed under: Zonotrichia albicollis (white-throated sparrow)
Lineage: Eukaryota; Metazoa; Chordata; Aves; Passeriformes; Passerellidae
Description: lncRNA (ENSZALG00000009034.1)
Source: RNAcentral
GUCACAAUGUGAUCUUUGCAUUGUCAACUACACAUCAAUCACAACGCAGCCAUGCAGAAUCAGGAAGCACAACAUGGCUACACCCAUCUUGAGUGUGAUCUGCAAAAUGUGGAAGGUAUAUUCCCUGUCUUCAAGAGGUUGAAGGCAUAGCACUGUCAGAUUUCACAAGCAGUAGCUUCUCUUUUCACAGCAACCAGCUCUCCCC